Molecule: long non-coding RNA, 4040 nt
Filed under: Marmota monax (woodchuck)
Lineage: Eukaryota; Metazoa; Chordata; Mammalia; Rodentia; Sciuridae
Source: RNAcentral
CUAAAAUCUUUGUGGAGCAGAGGAGCGGGCCAAGAAGGAGGCAGCUGAGAAGGAACAGGAGCUGCUAAGGCAGCAGCAGAAGGAGCAGCAGGAAAGGAUGGAGGCCCAAGAGAGAAGCUUCUGGGAAAAUAUGGUACAGAGAAGAUGGAGAGAGAAAGGGAGAACAUCCUGAGAGAGCAGGAAAGGGUGCUGGAGCACAAGCUGAAGGUGAGUCUCUACAGGGCCUGGCAGGAUGUGACAAACACUGCCUGAUAUCUCAGUUUGGGAUGGGACAAAAUGUUAGAUACAGACAGCAUUCCAAAGGGACACCCAGAAGGUAAAUGUUUCACUGACACGGACAUCUCAAGUGCACCUGGAUCCUAAUGAAGCCUAUAAAUCUAAGAGACUUCAACACUCUGUGUAUUGAUAGACUUUGGAGGGUACAAAUAAUAACCCCCUGGUGGUGGAUUACUCUUUGUUGAGAUUAUGUGCCCCAAUUGAGUAGGAUUCUGGCACAACCAUCCAAGAGACCUGAAACAGAUCCUUAUGGUCUGUAUGCAUCAGAUUUGGCCUCAUAUAAAAUUAGGACAGUGAAAGAUCAGAAAUUGUUCCACUUGCUGGUUCAUCUAUAUAAGUAGAGUAAAACAAACCUGUCUCAUAACCAGGAACUUGAUGACCAGUGUUCUGUACAAGGGCAGCAUUUCCCAUGAUUUGUUAGAGCAUCAUAGCCAUGCCACCUUGGUGGAUCUGAGAAUCAAUCAGAAUUCAACCUCAUUCUCCCCCACACAGCAUCCUUUGUGCUGGAAUAAAAUUCCUCUCCACUUCCAGUGAGUGUGAGGAAAUCUCACAAGUGUGUAAGCCCUGGGUACGCCCCCUCUUCAGGUCAAAAGUCUGAAAAUACCAAAGAAUAUUCUAAGGUGGUAGAGAAAUAGACAAAUGUGCUUAACUGCUGAAUUUGUUAAAUUCUGAAUUCUGGCAGUUAAUAACCAGAGAUUCUCAAAGGUGGACUCUUCCUCUUUUAUAGGUCCAAAAAGAAACUUUUUACUGAGGGAUUUAAAGAGAAAUCUGAGGCAUUAACUAAAGAGAUAAAUUUAAGAGAAGAGAUUGAAACAUGUAAAAAGAAGACACCCUUGAUAUUUUCACAGAUUCUUGAUAUAGCUCCAACUGUUUUCCUUGUAAUAGUCCCUGGGACUGGUAAAACUAGUUGGGGUAGGGAUGAAAAUUAUUAGUGCCAUUAAGAGUAGCCAGAGGAUUCCUAAUAGGAAAUCAUAAAAUGAGGCAUCUUUUAUUUUAAUAACAUUUUUCUAUGGUUCCUUUUAAAGGAGAUUGUGUCAUAUCAGUUUCAUUCAAGAAAAAUUUAAAAAUAAAAAGUAGUUAUCAAAGAAUAUGAGUUUAUCCCUAAGAGAAAUGAUUUUUAUUGAAUUGAAGUAAUAAGAAACAAUGAAGACAAUAUGAAAUGAUUUCUAAAAAAGUCUUAACUAAAGCAAAAAAGCUAAAUAGCAAUGUGAAGAAAAUAUUUGCAAUUCAUAUUUAGUCAUGAAAGUUUUUUAAGUCAUAUUGAGCUCUUGUGGAAAAUGACCAACAACCACAUUGUUUAAAUAGAAAGAAACAUGAAGAAAAUUUCAUUUUUACUAAAACUAAUGUGCAAAACAAAACUGAAGAACAUAGUUUUGUCUUCUUAAUGGGCAGUGAAGAACAGUUUUAGUAAUAUACAUCAAAAAUUAAAAUGCACAUACCUCUGAUCUAGCAAUUGCAUAUACAGGAAAUUCGCUUAUGUGACUUUUUACCCAAUUAUAAAUGAUUUUUGUAGUGGUUUACUUAUUUCAGUGUCAUGAUAAUUACAAAAGACUGGAAGCAACUGAAAGUCCCUGUGUCAGGUACUGAUAAGGGAAAUAAUAGGACAUAUUUUCAGAAUAAUACUCAAUAAUCAUUGUAAAAAGUUGGGGAGUUGUAGGGGUAGGGGAUCUCCAAGAUUUAGCAUUAAUGAAUGAAAAAUGUAGAAAAUGUGAAUACUUAAAUUUAUAAAAUAUUGAAUAUGCAUAUAUGUUAUAACCUACCUAUGGAAAAUACAAAACACUAGUGUAUAUGUCACAAUAGGAAGGCACCUGUAUAGUUGAGGUGAAAGAAGAGAGCACAACUAACUUUACAUCAUAUAUUCUUCCAUGUUUUUAACACUUUGUAUGGAUUUUUUACAUUCAAACAAAUACAAGUAUAAUUGGCAAAACUGAAAAUGAAAUAAUAUGUGUUUGGAAAAUUCCCAGGACAGGAUGAAAGUGGGUUUAGUACUACUAGAAAUAGCAAAAUUUCGCUCGACUAGAAAAGACUGCUUCUAAGAACAAGGAACUAGAAAGCACAAGACAUCCUGAUUUUUUGAUUUUCGUUAUGACCUUUCAAUAAGGCCUUUAACAUCUAUUCCACAGAAUAUGCUUUUCAAACUUAGGUUUAAGGCGAACUGGAUCCAAGGGUUGCAACCAUUGAAUCCUUCUGUCAAGUGUUACCCUGACCUUGAUCCCCUUCCAUCCUUACUCCAACCCUUUUCCUGUGGAUUGCUUUCUCCAUGAUGGCUUCAGUCUUCAAACCACUCAUACCCUCUGGAACCACAGCACCAACAGCUACAAAAUUAGAACCCUCCAUCUAUAAGUACAGAGAUUCUCUCUUUCCCAGGAUCUCUACAUACCUCCUAAAAGCUCUCUUGCUAGAAGAUCUCAUGACUGCUGAUCCUGAUGCAUGUGCCUGCUCAGUGACAGGGAGUCCUGACCACCAGCCCUACUUCAUCCGAGUGGAAUAGUACCUGGUGGAAAAGGCCAUGCGAAAAAGGACAAGAACAAACUCAGCACUUCCACUGUUCUCUGAACUCUUACGGCUGAAGAAAUUCUGCACAAAUAUUUGCUGUCCUAGGAGUCUGUGAGUGAUGCAACUUCACAGACAGAUAAGACUCUCACAGAAAAGGAAAGGAGAUCAAACGUGAGCAGAGACCAAGAGACUACAUACUCAAAAAAGUCUCUUUAAAGUUUAAAUAUUUGGAUGAAACUGUUACCAUUAAACUAAGUAAAAAUCACAUAGACUGUCUUGGCUCCUGAAGCCAUUUCUGAGAAUGUUGUAUGCAGUCACUAGCAUCAUGGCUACCCCAUCGAAAAAUAGUCCUAGAACAUUCCCGCUGUCUAUUACAUGUAACAUCAGUGUAAUGAUAAAAACUUUACAAAAAGAUCUUCUGAAGAACCAAUCUGCAGCUUUGGGAGGUCCUGCUCUGUGAAACAGUGGGGACAGCAAUGGCUAAGUUGUACAGUGGACUCUGGCCUUGAAAUGAGAUGGGGCAGAAUCCUCUCCAGAGUUGGGAGAAACACAGUAGGUUCUCACCCUGAGCAGGGCACAGCUGGCCUGAGCUUCCAGGCCUGCCAUUCCUCAUGCCUUCUUCAUAGAAGGGUAUCAGGUGCUGUUCCUUCUCCUGGCCCAUCCCAUACUCUAGACCCCACAGACUUUAUCAUUUAUAUCAACCCUUGUGUCAGUUAACAAAUGCUUCUUUAUACAUUCACAGACAAACCUCCCAUAUCACCACCUGUCCAGGUGAUUCCUCCAGAUUAGGACAAUUCACAUGCUUUUUAGUCACCCAUGGGCAUAAACUGGGAUCAACAUCCAAACACACAGCAUGCUGUUUAUUGUAAUUAGCUGAGGUAAGUUGCAGGAAUAAAUAACAUCCCACACAAGUUCCAAGCUGCUAUUGUCAUCAAUUUUUGUCUCUCUAAUUUGUGAGCAGGAUAAAGCACCUUUUCUAGUUCCAGUGGCUGCCAUAACCCAGGUUUCUCUCCCAGUAUGAGGCCCAGUACAACUCUUCAUUCCAAGCAAACUUGUUUAUCUAAACAUCAUAAUGUACAUGGUUAUGCAAAUAACUGAUCUGUGCCCAGUUGAAUCCUUUUAUGUAAGUUUUGUACACAGUUAGUUCAUAUUAACCAAAUAACAACUGGUCUAACAAGUUAGUGACCAGUUGAAGAUUCAUACCUAAUGUUUCAGAAGUUACCCAGAAAUUGUGUCUUCAAAUAAAUCUUUUCCUUUUUAAGUGGAAA